Long non-coding RNA from Oncorhynchus tshawytscha (Chinook salmon), 315 nucleotides. The record is from Ensembl. NCBI's taxonomy places the organism in Eukaryota, Metazoa, Chordata, Actinopteri, Salmoniformes, Salmonidae.
GUGUUACGGUACAGAGUCAAUGUGGAGGCUAUAUACAGGGUAUUAUGGUACAGAGUCAAUGUGGAGGUUAUAUACAGGGUAUUAAGGUACAGAGUCAAUGUGGAGGCUAUAUACAGGGUAUUACGGUACAGAGUCAAUGUGGAGGCUAUAUACAGGGGUGUUACGGUACAGAGUCAAUGUGGAGGCUAUAUACAGGGUGUUACGGUACAGAGUCAAUGUGGAGGCUAUAUACAGGGUAUUACGGUACAGAGUCAAUGUGGAGGCUAUAUACAGGGGGUACCGGUACAGAGUCAAUGUGGAGGCUAUAUACAGGGG